RNAcentral lists this long non-coding RNA (1795 nucleotides) under Equus asinus (donkey). RNAcentral's name for it is "lncRNA (ENSEASG00005036272.1)". The record is from RNAcentral. Lineage: Eukaryota; Metazoa; Chordata; Mammalia; Perissodactyla; Equidae.
GCAGCUGAGAAGCAGAGGCUGGCUUGAUGUGCGGCUGUGGGGUGAGAUGAGCGAUACUCCUUGGUCGGCCUGGCUCAUCUUACUCGUCAUUUCCUGCAGGAGAACAGCUUGAGUGGCUCUCUGCAAUAUGUCACCUAGAAGCAGGAAGCCAUUCCGAACCCACGUGUUCCCAGCACUGAGUCAUCUCUAAAUGUCCUGAGCUUUCCAAUGACCUUGCUGACAGAGCAAGUCAAAGUCAGGAAGCAGGACUUGUGUUCUCCACAGGACGUACCUGGGAAAUACCGAUUUCUACCACACCACUUUGCCAUCGAGCUCUUGGUAGGACGUUGUCUUGGUUGUGUGUGAUGUCAAAGGGAGCUCAGCGAAGAAGAAAGAAUGAAGAGUCUGACCAGGAUGAGAAUCAUCAUGUAUACUGGCAUUGGGGAACCUUGGCUGUGACCUGGAUCCCUUUAGACAAGGUCUAGAUCCAGCCCCUAAAAGAGCUGUAGGGUCAUUUGGAAGACAGGAGAAUUCUAAUCAAGUAAGAACUCAUCACUCACUCAUCAAUAAAUUGGAAAGGCCUGGAAACAAAAGCACCACAGGAGCGAUGAGUUCACUUGGUGCGCAGGUCAUGCUGUCUGCAUUCCUUCUUUGGAGAAAUGCCUGAUUACAGUCCUGGGAAUGCAGGGCACAGGUUCACGUAUGUGCCUAUGGGACAUCUUAAACCAGGAGAAAAACCUUUGUAUUUCUGGGGACAAAAACUUCACAAACCUGGCACUCACAUAGGCCUAGCAAUAUUCUGGCCCAAAGAAGACCCUCCAAAACAUUUGUUAAGCAGAUGAAGAAAUGAGUUAAUGAACGAGCAUCUCAGAGCCUCGUGAGGACAAAGCAGAGCAGUCAAGAAUGUCCCAAAUGGGGGAAGCUUCUCCCAGGCAGUCAUCUGCGGACCAGGCUCCCCGGCCUCAGCUGUUCAUGCUCCUGUGCACACGCUCCCUGGGCCACAUGCCUGCACCAAGCUUCCUUUUGCCGUCUCAAAACUACUCUUGGCAAAGCAUGGCCUGGAGAACUUUCAUGAACCUUUGGUAAGGAAAAGGUUCUUUGUGGAAAUUGAGAAGUCCAGGCUGCGGCAGAGUAUGAGCAGCAGAUGGGUCUCAGUUUGGGGCAGUGAAUAAUUGCCCCGUCGGAGCGCCUUCUCAUGCCGGAAGGAAUAUGCCGCAUGAUGCGAGGGACCACGUUUCCUAUUUUACUUUGAUUUUACUUUCAGUGGAGUGGAGUUAAUGAAGUAUAGUCUAAACGGCAAAGAGGGGCUCUGGUCCCCGGAAACCCACGUUAAAACCGGAAGACAUCACAGAGGUUCCAGCGCUUUCACGAAGGGACCAGCCGGCUCGUCUGUCCGUAAAGCUGUGUUGGGUCAACGCCACAAGGGUCAUUGCUCCUGUGUCCCUGCUUCCGCCCUGCGGCGUGGGGGUGAGCGGCGGGGACAGAGACCGCGGGAGCUUUGUGGGCGGCGAGGGGGCCCCGCAGACGAAGCGGCCGCCCUGGUCAGUGGCCUUCUUUGCCACCCACCGUCCCGCCCAAGGCCCCAGAUACUUACAACGUUUUUCUUCAAAAGCCUAAAGGAAAAUGACCGAGCUGGCCUCUGUUUGGGGGCCGCGGGGCGUUCCCGGGCGUGACGUGGAGCCCUGGCCCUGCUGGCGGGGCCCGAACCUCCAGGUGGUGGAACCCGAGGCCUGGAAGGGUGGCCCGGGAAGAGAGCGGGGCAGGAAACGCGCCCCAGAGACGAGCCCAGCGCCAGGGCAGGGCAGCUGGAAGCGGG